RNAcentral lists this ribosomal RNA (253 nucleotides) under uncultured bacterium. RNAcentral describes it as "partial 16S ribosomal RNA". It matches the Rfam family "Bacterial small subunit ribosomal RNA", at positions 524 to 776 of the family's 1533-position model. The record is from RNAcentral.
UACGAAGGGUGCAAGCGUUACUCGGAAUUACUGGGCGUAAAGCGUGCGUAGGUGGUUCGUUAAGUCUGUCGUGAAAGCCCCGGGCUUAACCUGGGAAUGGCAUUUGGGACUGCAAGGCUUGAGUGCGGCAGAGGAGACUGGAAUUCCUGGUGUAGCAGUGAAAUGCGUAGAUAUCAGGAGGAAUACCGAUGGCGAAGGCAGGUCUCUGGGCUGACACUGACGCUCAUGCACGAAAGCGUGGGGAGCAAACAGG